Molecule: ribosomal RNA, 460 nt
Filed under: uncultured bacterium
Lineage: Bacteria
Description: partial 16S ribosomal RNA
Rfam family: Bacterial small subunit ribosomal RNA
Source: RNAcentral
CCUACGGGUGGCAGCAGUGAGGAAUAUUGGUCAAUGGACGCAAGUCUGAACCAGCCAAGUAGCGUGCAGGAUGACGGCCCUCCGGGUUGUAAACUUCUUUUAUAUGGGAAUAAAACAGGGUAUGCAUACCCUCUUGUAUGUACCAUAUGAAUAAGGCUCGGCUAACUCCGUGCCAGCAGCCGCGGUAAUACGGAGGAUCCGAGCGGUAUUCGGAUUUCUUGGGUUUAAAGGGAGCGUAGGUGGAUUGUUAAGUCAGUUGUGAAAGUUUGCGGAUCAACCGUAAAAUUGCAGUUGAAACUGGCAGUCUUGAGUACAGUAGAGGUGGGCGGAAUUCGUGGUGUAGCGGUGAAAUGCUUAGAUAUCACGAAGAACUCCGAUUGCGAAGGCAGCUCACUGGACUUCAACUGACACUGAUGCUCGAAAGUGCGGGUAUCAAACAGGAUUAGAUACCCUUGUAGUC